GAUUCAUAAUAACUUCUCGAAUCGCAUGGCCUUGUGCUGGCGAUGCUUCAUUCAAAUAUCUGCCCUAUCAACUUUCGAUGGUAGGAUAGUGGCCUACCAUGGUUUUAACGGGUAACGGGGAAUAAGGGUUCGAUUCCGGAGAGGGAGCCUGAGAAACGGCUACCACAUCCAAGGAAGGCAGCAGGCGCGCAAAUUACCCAAUCCCGACACGGGGAGGUAGUGACAAUAAAUAACAAUAUAGGGCUCUUUUGGGUCUUAUAAUUGGAAUGAGUACAAUUUAAACCCCUUAACGAGGAACAAUUGGAGGGCAAGUCUGGUGCCAGCAGCCGCGGUAAUUCCAGCUCCAAUAGCGUAUAUUAAAGUUGUUGCAGUUAAAAAGCUCGUAGUUGAACUUCAGACCUGGCUGGAUGGUCUGCCUAACGGUAUGUACUGUCUGGCUGGGUCUUACCUCUUGGUGAACUAGCAUGUCCUUCACUGGGUGUGUUGGGGAACCAGGACUUUUAC
This 504-nucleotide ribosomal RNA is filed under the name uncultured fungus. Its description in RNAcentral is "SSU rRNA". It matches the Rfam family "Eukaryotic small subunit ribosomal RNA", at positions 248 to 755 of the family's 1831-position model. The record is from RNAcentral. Lineage: Eukaryota; Fungi.